Molecule: ribosomal RNA, 719 nt
Filed under: Methylobacillus gramineus
Lineage: Bacteria; Pseudomonadati; Pseudomonadota; Betaproteobacteria; Nitrosomonadales; Methylophilaceae
Description: bacterial SSU rRNA
Rfam family: Bacterial small subunit ribosomal RNA
Source: RNAcentral
CGGGGAGCUUGCUCCCUGGUGGCGAGUGGCGAACGGGUGAGUAAUAUAUCGGAACGUGUCCAAUAAUGGGGGAUAACUAGUCGAAAGAUUAGCUAAUACCGCAUACGCCCUGAGGGGGAAAGUGGGGGAUCUUCGGACCUCACGUUAAUGGAGCGGCCGAUAUCUGAUUAGCUAGUUGGUGGGGUAAAAGCCUACCAAGGCGACGAUCAGUAGCUGGUCUGAGAGGAUGAUCAGCCACACUGGGACUGAGACACGGCCCAGACUCCUACGGGAGGCAGCAGUGGGGAAUUUUGGACAAUGGGCGAAAGCCUGAUCCAGCCAUGCCGCGUGAGUGAAGAAGGCCUUCGGGUUGUAAAGCUCUUUCGCAAGGAAAGAAAACUUAUCUACUAAUACUAGAUGAGGAUGACGGUACCUUGAUAAGAAGCACCGGCUAACUACGUGCCAGCAGCCGCGGUAAUACGUAGGGUGCGAGCGUUAAUCGGAAUUACUGGGCGUAAAGCGAGCGCAGGCGGUUUUGCAAGUCAGAUGUGAAAGCCCCGGGCUCAACCUGGGAACUGCGUUUGAAACUGCAAGGCUAGAGUAUAGGAGAGGGAGGUAGAAUUCCACGUGUAGCAGUGAAAUGCGUAGAGAUGUGGAGGAAUACCAAUGGCGAAAGCAGCCUCCUGGCCUAAUACUGACGCUCAUGCUCGAAAGCGUGGGGAGCAAACAGGAUUAGAUAC